CCCUCGAUAGCUCAGUUGGAAGAGCAUGAGACUGUAAUUGGUUAAGUCGCGCAUCUCAGGGUCAUCGGUUCGAUCCCGAUUCGAGGGA
RNAcentral lists this transfer RNA (88 nucleotides) under Melampsora larici-populina 98AG31. RNAcentral's name for it is "tRNA-Tyr for anticodon GUA". It matches the Rfam family "tRNA". Rfam says of the family: Transfer RNA (tRNA) molecules are approximately 80 nucleotides in length. Their secondary structure includes four short double-helical elements and three loops (D, anti-codon, and T loops). Lineage: Eukaryota; Fungi; Basidiomycota; Pucciniomycetes; Pucciniales; Melampsoraceae. The record is from Rfam by way of RNAcentral.